This 468-nucleotide ribosomal RNA is filed under the name uncultured bacterium. RNAcentral describes it as "partial 16S ribosomal RNA". It matches the Rfam family "Bacterial small subunit ribosomal RNA", at positions 28 to 507 of the family's 1533-position model. The record is from RNAcentral.
GACGAACGCUGGCGGCGUGCUUAACACAUGCAAGUCGAACGGAAAGGCCCUGCUUUUGUGGGGUGCUCGAGUGGCGAACGGGUGAGUAACACGUGAGUAACCUGCCCUUGACUUUGGGAUAACUUCAGGAAACUGGGGCUAAUACCGGAUAGGAGCUCCUGCUGCAUGGUGGGGGUUGGAAAGUUUCGGCGGUUGGGGAUGGACUCGCGGCUUAUCAGCUUGUUGGUGGGGUAGUGGCUUACCAAGGCUUUGACGGGUAGCCGGCCUGAGAGGGUGACCGGCCACAUUGGGACUGAGAUACGGCCCAGACUCCUACGGGAGGCAGCAGUGGGGAAUAUUGCACAAUGGGCGGAGGCCUGAUGCAGCAACGCCGCGUGCGGGAUGACGGCCUUCGGGUUGUAAACCGCUUUCGCCUGUGACGAAGCGUAAGUGACGGUAAUGGGUAAAGAAGCACCGGCUAACUACGUG